CAAUCUUUCUGCUUGUUUUUUUUUCUCCGAGAUCUUUGCAAAUGCUGUGAGCAAAUAAAUGGUCAAAUUUUCCCAUGAACUGUAUACUUAUAUAUUUUAAGAACAUAGAUAUUCCCUUCAGUAACUAUAUUGUACCAAAGAAAAUGGCUCAUGAAUACAAAAAUUUGAAUGUAAACAGGAAGUUCGUUGUUCAUGUUGUUGGAGGCAAAUGGAGCUAACUUGAAACUCUAAAAUGCUUUUAGAGAGAUAUCAGAUGAAAGAAUGUGCAUAUAUCUAGUUAUUAGAGGUAUGCCUAUUAUGUAUGAAUUGAUGUAGUUGGAGAAAUCAGAUCGCUUCAGUGCAUGACUAUGCUACAGGAUGAUACAAGAUCACAGACAGAAAUUCGAUCAAGGAUCAAACAUAAAUUACAUAAUACUUCCACUAAAUUAAAUGGUUGGAAUGAAGUUCCUGACCCUGGUGAUGGUUUUGGAAAAGCUAAGAGACAUUCUGAUGCCACCUUAUAUUGAGACUACAAUACUCCAAAAUAAUUUUGUUGUAUUCAUAAUUUUCUAUCAAAUAAUCUUUUAGUUUAAUUUUCAAGUUUAAGCUAAGUGAAUUUUUAUCAUUCUUAACCACAAGUGUAAAAGCUGCUGGCAGAUGUGUUAUUCCCCUUUGAAUUUUAUUCUUUUUGUGUUCUUUGAAACCCAGAUCUGUCUCAAUAUUAGAUUAAAAUAAUUUUGUAAUGAUAUUGUUUCUUCUUUUUUUUGUUUUGUGUCAAUAUCAGCAAUGUUAUCCAAUGGUUUUCCAUCAAACCUUUCCAAACUUUUGCAAAGAAUUCUUCUAAAAAUUCCUUCAACUUUAAUGCGAUGA
Molecule: long non-coding RNA, 849 nt
Organism: Mercenaria mercenaria
Lineage: Eukaryota; Metazoa; Mollusca; Bivalvia; Venerida; Veneridae
Exons: 3
Source: RefSeq, a predicted model, not a curated record